CAGCCCGCAACUUGCACCCAGCCAGCCGGCGUGUCCUCCCCGCAACACGCUGCAGGCCAAUCCGCUCACUCACUCACUCCGUGUCGGGUUACAAUGACAAGGGCCCUGUCUGAACCACGACUUUUAGAAAGAUAAUAUUACAGGUCCACAGCUGAUCCAUCUCCCAGUACACAAUUGAGACGGAGGAGGUUAAAGCACUCUGAACGCAUGGGACAAUAUUGCAGGUGUUUGUGCCGGUGGCAGGGUCUUGAUCUUUUGUUCCUCCGGCACCCUCCCAUGUACCGCGAGAUGACCGGCAUGCACACAGGCCUCACAGGUCGGUCACAAGUAUCCAUCAACACACGGUC
Molecule: long non-coding RNA, 347 nt
Organism: Anoplopoma fimbria (sablefish)
Lineage: Eukaryota; Metazoa; Chordata; Actinopteri; Perciformes; Anoplopomatidae
Exons: 3
Source: RefSeq, a predicted model, not a curated record